CCCUUAUCCCCUCCCUCUCUUGGCCUAUAAACUUGCCGGGGUAGUGGGGGUUAAUCAGAGAGGAAUUAUGAGCCAACAUCCCCAGCAGGAGGUGCAUUUAAUGAAAUCACUUGUGAUUUAUGUCUGGGGGAGGUUGGAGAAGGAAGAAUCUGGAACCCAGACAUCCUGCUUCUAGAAAGGUACCGCCCCCCCAGUGCAAAAGAGGAGGAAGCAAAGCAGAAAGAGGGACCCAAGGCCUUUACUGCCACCCCACAGCCCCUGCAAAGCCACACACACCCUGGCAGGAGCCACAAGGGUAGCUGCACAAGGCCAUCGCCACAGAGGCUGCCAGACUUAAAGUGCUUCUGAGGAGUGUAGUGUGCCAGUGCCUGACACGGGGCGCUCAGGGGAGAGUAAUUGACUGCACAGGCAGGGAAGGAAGACAGCUGGGUUCCCAUCAGAGUUUUCUCCAGCUCAUGGUGGCCGUCAGCCAAUGAAAACUUAGGAUGCGCUCACCACCAGCAGCCAAUCCCAGUGAAGGAUGAGCCGAACUGCCAGGCCUAAUUGCAUCUUGAUUGGUUGUGAUGUUGCUAGGCAGAAAUGAGGUCCCGGAGAUCGCUGCGGGCAAGACCGGAGAGACAGGAAACGAGAAAUCUUGUCCCACGUUCUUCUUUCACAUCGCAAGACUCAAAGAGCAAGAGAUUUCCCUGCAGAAUGGCCCCUCCACAACCACCCAAGGAUGCCCUGCAGACCGCGCCAAGGUCGAGGCGGCCAUAUAGUGGC
Long non-coding RNA from Bos taurus (domestic cattle), 762 nucleotides. The record is from Ensembl. Lineage: Eukaryota; Metazoa; Chordata; Mammalia; Artiodactyla; Bovidae.